AAGCUCUGAGGUGUUUUACAUAGUAGAUUGCAAAUCUGAAGAAGUAGGCUAACGCCUGCCGGGGCUU
This 67-nucleotide transfer RNA is filed under the name Collichthys niveatus (bighead croaker). Its description in RNAcentral is "tRNA-Cys". Lineage: Eukaryota; Metazoa; Chordata; Actinopteri; Sciaenidae. RNAcentral also lists the same sequence under 1 other name. The record is from RNAcentral.